AGUGAACGCUGGCGGUAGGCCUAACACAUGCAAGUCGAACGGCAGCACAGUAAGAGCUUGCUCUUACGGGUGGCGAGUGGCGGACGGGUGAGGAAUACAUCGGAAUCUACUUUUUCGUGGGGGAUAACGUAGGGAAACUUACGCUAAUACCGCAUACGACGUACGGGUGAAAGCAGGGGAUCUUCGGACCUUGCGCGAUUGAAUGAGCCGAUGUCGGAUUAGCUAGUUGGCGGGGUAAAGGCCCACCAAGGCGACGAUCCGUAGCUGGUCUGAGAGGAUGAUCAGCCACAUUGGAACUGAGACACGGUCCAGACUCCUAAGGGAGGCAGCAGUGGGGAAUAUUGGACAAUGGGCGCAAGCCUGAUCCAGCCAUACCGCGUGGGUGAAGAAGGCCUUCGGGUUGUAAAGCCCUUUUGUUGGGAAAGAAAAGCAGCAGGUUAAUACCCCGCUGUUCUGACGGUACCCAAAGAAUAAGCACCGGCUAACUUCGUG
This 492-nucleotide ribosomal RNA is filed under the name uncultured bacterium. RNAcentral's name for it is "partial 16S ribosomal RNA". It matches the Rfam family "Bacterial small subunit ribosomal RNA", at positions 29 to 507 of the family's 1533-position model. The record is from RNAcentral.